RNAcentral lists this signal recognition particle RNA (95 nucleotides) under Oceanibacterium hippocampi. RNAcentral describes it as "Sneathiella sp. BFLP-8 Bacterial small signal recognition particle RNA". It matches the Rfam family "Bacterial small signal recognition particle RNA". From Rfam's summary of the family: The signal recognition particle (SRP) is a universally conserved ribonucleoprotein involved in the co-translational targeting of proteins to membranes. Archaeal SRP consists of a 7S RNA and homologues of the eukaryotic SRP19 and SRP54 proteins. Lineage: Bacteria; Pseudomonadati; Pseudomonadota; Alphaproteobacteria; Sneathiellales; Sneathiellaceae. The record is from Rfam by way of RNAcentral.
GGAGGUUGGCGGUGGACGAACUAUUCGCCAACCCGGUCAGAUCCGGAAGGAAGCAGCCGUAACGAAAUUCGUUCGGGUCGCUGCCAACCUCCCAC